RNAcentral lists this microRNA precursor (107 nucleotides) under Fukomys damarensis (Damara mole-rat). Its description in RNAcentral is "miRNA (ENSFDAG00000003920.1)". The record is from RNAcentral. Lineage: Eukaryota; Metazoa; Chordata; Mammalia; Rodentia; Bathyergidae.
GACUGACCUGGAACUCACUGUGUAGCCCAGGCUGGUCUCGAACUCACAAUGAUCCUCCUGGCUCAGCCUCCCGAGUGCUGGGAUUACAGGUAUGCGCCACCAUGCCC